Molecule: non-coding RNA, 73 nt
Organism: Terramyces sp. JEL0728
Lineage: Eukaryota; Fungi; Chytridiomycota; Chytridiomycetes; Rhizophydiales; Terramycetaceae
Source: the annotation of a GenBank genome assembly
GGUUCCGUGGCCAAAUGGUUACGGCGUUGGACUUCUAAUCCAAAGAUUGCGGGUUCGAUCCCCGCCGGAAUCU